CCGAACAGCGCAUGAGGGUACCCAAGCUCAGUGAUGCCUGAGUGUGUGUGAAGAGGACUUUCCGGGUGGGCAGCAUGACAGUUAUUAGUCGGCACAGAAUGGCUGACAUUAGCUGCCCGGGGAACCGAAAAGGGACCAGUGAUGUAAUCUGUUAUAUAACCGUUCCUGCAGGAAUGCCGCUUCUGUGUGGACAGUACAGAACUAUGGCCUUGCGAGCAAAAGCCUUCACCUUCACUUUGUUCUUGCCAGACUGCCUGUGUGUGUCUGUUGCUGGCCUGUGAGCUGCCCACCUGUGCCUUAUGUGCCAGUCUAUGUUCGUGUAGUCUGCAAAUGUUCUCAACGUGUCAACAUCUGUAGUCAUUCAAGUGAUUGGCAGAACUGUUGACCGGGUCAGGAUUGGAAACCAGAAGAUUAGUCAGUGAUUGCUGUUUCUGCACAAAAGCAGGCCAAUCUUAUGGAAGCAUUCUCGCAGUUGAUGUUCCCGCCUCUCAGAGGACUUGAGCUUGUGUCGACUUUGACAUGAAACUACUCAGCACGGGACGUAAACGUAGAAAAAGACAUGGGCUUCUGUUUGCAGGACGCCGAGACUGGAGAGGAAGAAAGUAUAUCCACAAAUACGAAACCCCAGGGAGAGGAUCAUUCCGUUGGAAUUUCUUCCGGGUGUUUAGAGAGAAGGGAGCAGCAGUGGAGAGAAGGAACAGGCUGCUUCUAUUCCAAGAGAAUAAUGAACACAGCCGCCCUCUGGGCCUGAUUCUCUCUGCGGCAAAUGGCUCAUCCUGGCUUUCUGAAGCGCGUACCUCCCAAGAGCCGUUCAAGGUCACCACGACUGGCCUUCUCUGAAGCGUCUCCCCACUCUUCGAGGUGUGAAGAUCCCAAACACAUUCUUCUGUAAUGAAGAAACGAAGAUACCAUCCAUUAUUCUUACAGCAUUCAUGAUGUCUGAGUGUUGUAGGAGGAUGGGCUGAAGCCAAUUACCAUUCCCGUCACUCCAUGCUCAGAGAGGAGAAAGGAGCAGCCACUGCCCUAACUUCCCGAGAGCUGGCCUGUGUCCCCAGCCUCACAGCUCUUGGCAAUGACAGGCAUUUGUCCCCCUGACCCCUUCCAUCUGCAGCCAGGUCCCUGGCUUCCUUCUCGGGAAAACUCAUAACUUCAAUCAUGGAUCCUCUUUGGACAUCUUGGAACACUGACAUAUGUUGAAAUGUCACAUCUUUCUCAGAAGCAUCUAAAUAUUACCAAACGUAAUGAUCUUGAUCUCUGGUCACCUUCUACGAUCCACCUUCAAAGACUACUCCUGAUUGACAGGGGUGCAUAUUUAUGGAUUAAGAUGUAGCAUUUCAAUAUAUGUAUGUGAUGAGUAUUGAUCGGACUGGGGUAAGUGACACACGUCACCUGAGAUAGUUAUCGUUUCUUCAGGUUGGGAGCAUUCACAAUCUCUACUAUCUGUGUUGAAAUGUGCGACUGUUUUCAAACAUACUUACCCUGCUGCACUUUAGAAAGUUUGAUGUUCUCCCCUAUCCAACUGCUCCUCUGUGCCUGUUAAUUAUCCUCUCUCCACUGCCUCCCCAAGCCCUCCUGGUCACCACCAGUCAGGUCUCUGCUCCAAAGUCCACUAUGUGGUCUCCUCAUGAGAGUGAUAACAUGUGUGUGUGUCUUUCCAUGUCUGGCUUAUUUCAUUUAGUAAAAUGUCCUCUGUUCUACCCAUCUUGGUGCAAAUGACAGAAUUUUAAUAUCAUUCUCUUAAUGGCUGAAUAGUAUUCAAUUAAUAUACCUAUCA
Molecule: long non-coding RNA, 1774 nt
Organism: Peromyscus californicus insignis
Lineage: Eukaryota; Metazoa; Chordata; Mammalia; Rodentia; Cricetidae
Exons: 5
Source: RefSeq, a predicted model, not a curated record